GUGUGAGGAUUGACCCUUCAGUGCGCAGUUACCCAAUAAGUAAUCCACCUGGGGAGUACGACCGCAAGGUUGAAACUCAAAGGAAUUGACGGGGGCCCGCACAAGCAGUGGAGUAUGUGGUUUAAUUCGAAGCAACGCGAAGAACCUUACCAGGUCUUGACAUCCGAUGCAUAGUGCAGAGAUGCAUGAAGUCCUUCGGGACAUCGAGACAGGUGGUGCAUGGUUGUCGUCAGCUCGUGUCGUGAGAUGUUGGGUUAAGUCCCGCAACGAGCGCAACCCUUAUUGCCAGUUACUACGCAAGAGGACUCUGGCGAGACUGCCGUUGACAAAACGGAGGAAGGUGGGGAUGACGUCAAAUCAUCAUGCCCUUUAUGACCUGGGCUACACACGUACUACAAUGGCGUUUAACAAAGAGAAGCAAGACCGCGAGGUGGAGCAAAACUCAAAAACAACGUCUCAGUUCAGAUUGCAGGCUGCAACUCGCCUGCAUGAAGUCGGAAUUGCUAGUAAUCGCGGAUCAGCAUGCCGCGGUGAAUACGUUCCCGGGCCUUGUACACACCGCCCGUCACACCAUGAGAGCCGGGGGGACCCGAAGUCGGUAGUCUAACCGCAAGGAGGACGCCGCCGAAGGUAAAACUGGUGAUUGGGGUGAAGUCGUAAC
RNAcentral lists this ribosomal RNA (661 nucleotides) under uncultured bacterium. Its description in RNAcentral is "bacterial SSU rRNA". It matches the Rfam family "Bacterial small subunit ribosomal RNA", at positions 823 to 1492 of the family's 1533-position model. The record is from RNAcentral.